CGACAUAAGCUUGGAGGAAGUUGAUGUGCUGAAGCUUGCCUUUUUUGAGAAUAACGCAAAAGACAAAAGAUACAAUAGACACACCAGGUUUGUUUCCUGUGAUAUUGUGGUUUCGGCCUAUAUUGGUUUGUGGUUUCGGCCUAUAUUGGUUUGUGGUUUCCUCAAGUCUCUGUUCUGUUCGUAUGGUCUCAGCCCGUGCUUAUUCAGGUUCUUUGGGAACUUGCGUUCGAUUGUCGUCUGUGUGGAGCUGGUUUUUUGGUUCUGAUAAGAAACACUUUCCCUCUUUUUAAUUAUUGUGCCUCAGUGUUGAUUUCUUUUUUUUGGUGAUUCAAAAGGUUGUCCGGUAGUGUGGAAAGGUUGUUUGUGUUUUUAUGGUCUGUAAUAAUCGUACUUCAAAUUACGUUAAUGCAAUUCAAAGAUGAACAAAAAAAAACAAAAUAGACACACCUGUCAAGUCCUUGGUUACUCGAAACAGGUAGGCACAUAGCUUAUGUUUUGUUACAGCUUCCCUUCUCUCAUUUUAUCAUGUAGGUACUAUUGAUGAGGUCCCCACGACUACUACUGUGACCAACCUCCAGAAAUUCAUGCUUCUGAAGUUCAACCAUCUUCAAGCUCUUGCAAACUUUCUUUGAACUCCCCGAUAUAGUUGGCCAAAUCCGUUCAAGACUCUUAACAUAAACAACUCUGUUCAAGGCUCUGACAUAAACAACUCUGCUGCAACAACCCGAUUAUGCAUGAAAGUUGGUGUCUCAAUCAUGCUGCUGCGCAACCUAAACCAAGAAGAAGGCUUGAGAAAGAGUUAUAGAAGCAGAAGUGUGUGUGCUGAUACCAAGAAACAAACUAUCACCGACCUAAACCAAACAUCUAUUCAUUCUAAGAAGCCGCCAGUUUUGAGUACAUAUAUCCUAGGGAUUUUAACAUUACCAGGGUCACGUGACUAACGACAUUGCCAACAUCGUUUACAGAAAAGCCUUCAAUGGCCUCCCACAAUCACUGGUUUAGAAGAAGACUAUGAGAGUUUCGCCAACAUGCUUUCCUCUGUUUCUUUCUCUGUUCUGUUUGUAUCUGUCCAAAGAAUCAUCAAAUGGGAUCCACUGAACUACAAGACACAUAUUUGUUUAGCUCUUUUUCUGAGAACUUACACUCAACGUUCUUCACUCCAACCACAAGCUCGCUCUGAUCUGACUCGGACACGGAUUCACCAAAGCCAUAAAACGAGGAUGAAAAUCGUAGAGUUGACUUGGCAUAUGAGUAACUAUAUGAGCAUCAGAAGUCUUGUGGUGGAGACAACCUAUUAUGAUUCCUUUUCAAUCAAAAGAAGCUUUCAUCGAUGAGCAGAUCCGAUAUGUUCAUGCAAAC
Molecule: long non-coding RNA, 1359 nt
Organism: Brassica napus (rape)
Lineage: Eukaryota; Viridiplantae; Streptophyta; Magnoliopsida; Brassicales; Brassicaceae
Exons: 4
Source: RefSeq, a predicted model, not a curated record